AAAAAACAAAUAAAUAAAUAAAUAACACAUAAGAUGUGGUGAAAUCCUAAAGAAAAAAUCUUAGGGGGACGGGGAUAAAAAAUUGUAAGACUCAAUUAUUUUAACAAUUGAAAGACCUUUGAAAUAUUUAAGGCGAUAUUUUUUUAAAAGCAAAAUAAGAGUUAACAUUCCCAAUCAAAGUAAACAUGAAUAAUUUAUUGGUACAAGAAGUACUAGAAUCUGC
RNAcentral lists this long non-coding RNA (223 nucleotides) under Lathyrus oleraceus (garden pea). Its description in RNAcentral is "Pisum sativum (pea) long non-coding RNA (PSAT_LNC034403)". The record is from RNAcentral. Lineage: Eukaryota; Viridiplantae; Streptophyta; Magnoliopsida; Fabales; Fabaceae.